UACGGAAGGCAGCAGGGGGAAUAUUGCACAAUGGGCGCAAGCCUGAUGCAGCCAUGCCGCGUGUAUGAAAAAGGCCUUCGGGUUGUAAAGUACUUUCAGUCGUGAGGAAGGUGUUAAGGUUAAUAACCUUAGCAAUUGACGUUAGCGACAGAAGAAGCACCGGCUAACUCCGUGCCAGCAGCCGCGGUAAUACGGAGGGUGCGAGCGUUAAUCGGAAUUACUGGGCGUAAAGGGCACGCAGGCGGUUAAUUAAGUUGGAUGUGAAAUCCCCGGGCUUAACCUGGGAAUGGCAUUCAAGACUGGUUAGCUAGAGUCUUGUAGAGGGGGUAGAAUUCCAUGUGUAGCGGUGAAAUGCGUAGAGAUGUGGAGGAAUACCGGUGGCGAAGGCGGCCCCUGGACAAGACUGACGCUCAUGUGCGAAAGCGUGGGGAGCAAACGAGGGAUUAGAUA
Molecule: ribosomal RNA, 450 nt
Filed under: uncultured bacterium
Lineage: Bacteria
Description: bacterial SSU rRNA
Rfam family: Bacterial small subunit ribosomal RNA
Source: RNAcentral